GACGAACGCUGGCGGCGUGCCUAAUACAUGCAAGUUGAGCGAUGAAGAUUGGUGCUUGCACCAAUUUGAAGAGCAGCGAACGGGUGAGUAACGCGUGGGGAAUCUGCCUUUGAGCGGGGGACAACAUUUGGAAACGAAUGCUAAUACCGCAUAACAACUUUAAACAUAAGUUUUAAGUUUGAAAGAUGCAAUUGCAUCACUCAAAGAUGAUCCCGCGUUGUAUUAGCUAGUUGGUGAGGUAAAGGCUCACCAAGGCGAUGAUACAUAGCCGACCUGAGAGGGUGAUCGGCCACAUUGGGACUGAGACACGGCCCAAACGCCUUCGGGAGGCAGCAGUAGGGAAUCUUCGGGCAUGGGUGAAAGUCUGACCGAGCAACGCCGCGUGAGUGAAGAAGGGUUUCGGAUCGUAAAACUCGGUUGGUGGAGAAGAACGUUGGUGAGAGUGGAAAGCUCAUCAAGUGACGGUAACUACCCAGAAAGGGACGGCUAACUACGUG
RNAcentral lists this ribosomal RNA (497 nucleotides) under uncultured bacterium. RNAcentral's name for it is "partial 16S ribosomal RNA". It matches the Rfam family "Bacterial small subunit ribosomal RNA", at positions 28 to 507 of the family's 1533-position model. The record is from RNAcentral.